GACGUAGGGCGCGAGCGUUGUCCGGAUUUAUUGGGCGUAAAGAGUUCGUAGGCGGUUUGUCGCGUCGUUCGUGAAAACUUGGGGCUUAACUCCAAGCGUGCGGGCGAUACGGGCAGACUUGAGUACUACAGGGGGAGACUGGAAUUCCUGGUGUAGCGGUGAAAUGCGCAGAUAUCAGGAGGAACACCGGUGGCGAAGGCGGGUCUCUGGGUAGUAACUGACGCUGAGGAACGAAAGCGUGGGUAGC
Molecule: ribosomal RNA, 247 nt
Filed under: uncultured bacterium
Lineage: Bacteria
Description: partial 16S ribosomal RNA
Rfam family: Bacterial small subunit ribosomal RNA
Source: RNAcentral